RNAcentral lists this small nuclear RNA (132 nucleotides) under Nebalia sp. RNAcentral describes it as "partial U2 snRNA". It matches the Rfam family "U2 spliceosomal RNA", at positions 25 to 155 of the family's 192-position model. Rfam says of the family: U2 is a small nuclear RNA (snRNA) component of the spliceosome (involved in pre-mRNA splicing). Complementary binding between U2 snRNA (in an area lying towards the 5' end but 3' to hairpin I) and the branchpoint sequence (BPS) of the intron results the bulging out of an unpaired adenosine, on the BPS, which initiates a nucleophilic attack at the intronic 5' splice site, thus starting the first of two transesterification reactions that mediate splicing. Lineage: Eukaryota; Metazoa; Arthropoda; Malacostraca; Leptostraca; Nebaliidae. The record is from RNAcentral.
GAUCAAAGUGUAGUAUCUGUUCUUAUCAGCUUAAUAUCUGAUACGAUCCCCAUGCGGGAUCAACGAUAUUAAACUGAUUUUUGGCCUUUGGCGAAGUGCUAGGAGCUUGCUCCACCUUUGCCGCGGAUCAGC